CCAUCCCAGUUCGGAUUGCAGGCUGCAACCCGCCUGUAUGAAGUUGGAAUCGCUAGUAAUCGCGGAUCAGCAUGCCGCGGUGAGUACGUUCCCGGGCCUUGUACACACCGCCCGUCACACCAUGAGAGUCGGGAACACCCGAAGUCCGUAGCCUAACCGCAAGGAGGGCGCGGCCGAAGGUGGGUUCGAUAAUUGGGGUGAAGUCGUAACAAGGUAUC
RNAcentral lists this ribosomal RNA (218 nucleotides) under uncultured bacterium. RNAcentral's name for it is "partial 16S ribosomal RNA". It matches the Rfam family "Bacterial small subunit ribosomal RNA", at positions 1283 to 1500 of the family's 1533-position model. The record is from RNAcentral.